Non-coding RNA from Ictidomys tridecemlineatus (thirteen-lined ground squirrel), 3051 nucleotides. The record is from RefSeq and is a predicted model, not a curated record. Lineage: Eukaryota; Metazoa; Chordata; Mammalia; Rodentia; Sciuridae.
CACACACACACACACACACAGACACGUGCCCGUACGUCGCCUUAUCCCCUUCGGCUGCAGGCGGUCCCUCUCCCUGGGAGCACUUAGCUAGCUAAUGGGCCUCCCGCCGGCAGGCGCCCCUCCCCCGCCCCUAGCCCUGGGAGACCAGGCGCCUGACACCUCCUUCAAGGACCUAAGCAUCCUGGCCUUCCAGAGCGAGCCCUAGAACAGUCCCUUCCUGUGCUGCCGACCCUAUGAUUGCAGUCUGCCUCUGUGGGCCUCUUUGCUGAAAACUGAAGGUUUGCCUAGAGGGCCAGAGCCUCCUGGGUGUCCCCAAGAAGGAGGUUGCAGAGGGGCUCUGCAGUGCCUGGCCCGCAGCAGGUGCCCUGAAAUCUGUGUUCCAGUGAUGGGAGGAGGGGUUAUCGCGCAUGGGCACUGGGAUGGGUGGGGCCUGCAGCGCCUCCCGCAGGGCUUGGUUGGGGGGGCUCCUGCCUCAGGGCCCCUGUGGGAGCCCCCCCAAUAUAGAGGCGGCGGCAGCAGCAGCAGCAGGUUUAAAGUAGAACUCAUCCAGAGGGGCCAGCCAAGUCACCUAGAAACCCAGAAAGCAAUUGAGCUGGUUCUCCUGGGGGAGGGGUCAGUCAGGGAGGAGCUGCCCUGCAGGCCCCUUUGCCCCAGGCUCUCAGAUCCUCCGGGGGAGCCUUAACCAGCACUGGCCUUCUUCCAAAUCCCCAUCUUAUUGGCCGUCAACCUAGUGAAUCUCCUUGUCUUUGGCUUUGGUUCUGUGGGGUGUGAUUAUUAUCACCACUUGAGGCCCAGAGAGGGAAAGGGACUUGCCCAAGGUCACACAGUUCCGUAGGAGGAUAUCAGCCCUCUGAUUUCCUGUCCCCACUCCCUGCCCUUGAGGAGACAAAGGGAGACAACCAGUGAUCUUACUCUUCUCUCAUCAGAGCUGCAAAGCAUACUACUCCCAGACCCAGUGCCCACCAGACCUCACUUGGAGAACAAAGCCAAGCAGGGUGGAGGCUGGCCUCUGUUCCACAGGCCUGAGUUCACAUCCAGUGCUUUCUAGCAGCAGAACCCAGUUUCACUGUUCAGAAGCUAAGGGUUGUUUGAAGCUGAAGUAAGCAAAGGUAGGAGAUGCCUCACCCCCUAAGGUACUUUGGCAGGAGAAGAGGGAAGGCUGUAGGGAUCUAGGGACCAGUGCAAGGAAAGGGCAUGGGUCAGUUCCAGGACAGGGCUAGCAGGGAUGGAGUCAGGGACCCAGCUGAGGCAUAGGCCUUAGGCAGGGAUACUUCAUAGAAGCAGCACACAACAGCUCCUUGGAAAACAGAAUGGGAGCCUGCUUGCAGGGCCUGGGCCUCUUCUCCACCCACCCCUGUCCCCUGAGACCAAGGCAACCCCCCCAUUAGAAGGCUCCUUCCUCCUCUGACACUUUCUUCCAGCACUGGUAAUGGUAAUGAGGUUUCUCGGCAAGCAGUAAUGGUGGAAAGAAGGCAGUCCUUCCGGCCUCUACCCUCGAUUAAGGGAGCGGGCUUGGCCCUCAGGACCCUCCCCAGGGCCUCUGCUUCGGAAAGAGACCGUGGGCCGCCUUAGCUGCACUCUGGUGGGAGGGGGCCAGAACCUUGGGAGGGGUGGGGCUGCGGUCUGAGGCUAGAAGGCACAGGAGCAGGAGCACACCCCAGCCCCAGGAGGACUCUGUCGGAGGAGCAAUGGCUAGAUCGGCACAGGAACACUGAGCUCUGGGCUCCAGCACAAGAAGGUGAGGGUGGUCAGCCUCCAGGAGGAGGCUCGGAACAGGUAAGUGACUUGCCCCUGGCCAGGAUCUGAACCUAGUCCUCCACGUCCAAACCCAGGCAGUGCAGGGCAGCCUGGCUUCCAGAAGGCGCAGGUCAGCAUGCCCAUUCUGUUCUCUGGGUGGGUAGCCAUGGGAAGGGACAGACAGACAGGAAAGUCAACCCGAGGAAUCUGGGUGUGUUCUCAGGGUGGUACAGAUGGUGACCAGAAGGAAAGGCAGAGAGGGAAUGCUGGAGAGAACCCUUAAAGGGGGAUCCAACAUUUGAACUUGACUGGAAACCUUUACACCAACCCUGAGGGGAAGAGGGACAAGACCAGUACUCAUAAUCAGCAACUUGGGGACACUGAGAUCUGUAGGCACUACUCCCACAAUAGCUGUUGGGUACUAAAAUCCAUUCAAGUAUGUCCCCUCUCUAAUCCAGGAGCACCAUAAAUUCUGAAUCAAUACUGGGGUUCACAAAGCUGGCCUGCCCUGAUGGGGUGAGGUGGGGCAUGGUGGGGAAUUUGGACUUGGGUAAAAUGACCCUCAAGCAGGCCUGCAGCCAGAGGCCAGGCUCUAGAUGGGUGGGUCCUGCCUAAUCUGCAAGAGCAAGGGUCAGCCUUGCUCCUGCAGGCUGGCUGAAGGAGGCUAAGGCCAGGGGAUGAGCUGGGGAGCGAGGUUCCCUCACUCUACCCUUCCCUUGGACUAAGCCCCACCCCACUUUCCUCAACAAGAGACCCCACCUGUGUCUUCUCUUUGUCUCUUUUCCCAAUUACAGAGUAAAGGAUGAACUUGAAGUCCUGGGUUCAAGAUUGGCUCAGCACCUGCUGUGUGGCCUUGAGCCAAUCCCACCCCUCUCUAAACCCUACCAGUGUAGAGGGCUCUAUCCUGCAUGGGAAGAAAAAGUGUCUGUGAGGGGCUGGGACUUACUACAUCUGGGAUCCUGAGACCCUGUUUGGAACUGUGUGGAGCUGCCUGCUAAGCGUCUGAUAAUUCUAGGCACUGGGGUUCUGCUGGAACCAGGUAACUUUCUAAUACAGUGGGUUUGCAGAGAAGCAGACUCUAUCCGGAGCAUCAGCAACAAGGCCAGCACAGCUCUCCACCCGUAUUCUAGAAGUGGGAGACAAUGAACGAACGAAUGAAUGAGUCAGUUUGAAGAUACAGAGAAUCAAACAUUGAGGGAACAGGAUGCUCAGCCUGCUUAAGAGAGGUGUGAGGGACAGAGGUGCUACCCUCACGGUAGAACCACUGGGUGAGGGUCCCAAUAAACGCUCCUUAGGGGUCAGCUGUUACUAUUA